UACAGAGGGGGCAAGCGUUGUUCGGAAUUACUGGGCGUAAAGGGCGCGUAGGCGGUUUGCUAAGUCGAAUGUGAAAACUCUGGGCUUAACCCAGAGCCUGCAUUCGAUACUGGCAGGCUAGAGUUCUGGAGGGGAUAGCGGAAUUCCUGGUGUAGCGGUGAAAUGCGUAGAUAUCAGGAGGAACACCGGUGGCGAAGGCGGCUAUCUGGACAGAGUCUGACGCUGAGGCGCGAAAGCUAGGGGAGCAAACAGG
This 253-nucleotide ribosomal RNA is filed under the name uncultured bacterium. RNAcentral describes it as "partial 16S ribosomal RNA". It matches the Rfam family "Bacterial small subunit ribosomal RNA", at positions 524 to 776 of the family's 1533-position model. The record is from RNAcentral.